AUCGCUGUUGCGGGGCUGAUAGUUGAUAAAUGCAAAGCCGCGGGCCUGAUCAAUCACAUGAAAUAGCGGAUUCCAGGUAAACAUCACCAAAACUGAUCCCGGCAAGCUAUUGGCGACAAACAUCUUACCCGAUGCAACCAUAUUCAGGCGUUG
Rhodobacteraceae bacterium SB2 is the source of this 153-nucleotide small RNA. It matches the Rfam family "Ruegeria cis2 sRNA". Rfam says of the family: Cis-encoded. Targets ABC transporter. Lineage: Bacteria; Pseudomonadati; Pseudomonadota; Alphaproteobacteria; Rhodobacterales; Paracoccaceae. The record is from Rfam.